AAGUCGUAACAAGGUUUCCGUAGGUGAACCUGCGGAAGGAUCAUUAACAGAGCGUGCGGCUCCCCGCAAGGGGUUCCGCUACCUCCCAACCCCUUGACUAUCACGACCACGUUUCCUCGGCGACGCGCCGGAGGUGAAAGCCUCCGCCGGUAGGGGUACCUGCCCCGGCCGCGACGCCGCCAGAGGACUAAUUCUUAUCUCUGCGAUUCCGAACCAGCAGUCUGAGUGUGGGAUACCAUAUAAUUACCAAAACUUUCAACAACGGAUCUCUUGGUUCUG
Molecule: unclassified non-coding RNA, 279 nt
Filed under: air metagenome
Description: partial contains small subunit ribosomal RNA, internal transcribed spacer 1, and 5.8S ribosomal RNA
Rfam family: Eukaryotic small subunit ribosomal RNA (bases 1-46)
Source: RNAcentral